This 1223-nucleotide long non-coding RNA is filed under the name Macaca nemestrina (pig-tailed macaque). RNAcentral describes it as "lncRNA (ENSMNEG00000045666.1)". Lineage: Eukaryota; Metazoa; Chordata; Mammalia; Primates; Cercopithecidae. The record is from RNAcentral.
GAAAGUGUCUGAGGGUGUCAUGACCCCGAAGGAGGUGGCCGAGAGCUCUGCGGUGAAGCCGAGCCCAGAAGUGGGGGUGCUUGGGCAGCUGGUGGAGGGAGGAGACUGCUGCAGUGUUAGGGUCAUGGUAGAGAGGGAGACAUGUCCCUGGUUAUACAGAGCCAGGAUUCUGGGAAAAGUUCUAGCAAGGGGAACCAGAGCCUAGGAUGAGAGGAGCUCGGGAACUAGGGGCAGAGCCAGGGUAGGGAGGGGUCUGAGAGUGGAACCAGGAUGCAAAGGGGAGGAGCCUGGGAGCCCUGGGGGUGGGGUCAGAACCCAGGAGACGAAGGUGCCUGGGGUUUGUCUCGCAUCCGGGGGAGUUUGACAGGAAUUGUCCGGGACCCAACGGAGGUGAGGGCUCAAAGGGUGGUGAGGGCACAUAGUAGGGGAGUGGAAGCUUGGCUCUCAGGCCUAGGCUCCUAUCCUGUCCCAGGCCAGGUCCAGGCCCUGGACCCCACCUAGCGUAGGCUAGUGUGUAUCCCUGGAACCAGAAGAGGCCUCCCAGGACCCCCGUAGACUCUGUGAUGCCCACGCCCCGGAACAUGGGUGGGCGCUAUGAGGCAAGCCAGGUCUGGGCACCCUGCGGAAGCAGCUUAGCGACAGCGAGAGUGAGCGGCGGGCCCUAGAGGAACAACUGCAGCGCCUGCGGGAAAAGACCAACUGCGCCCUGCAGGCCCAUGAGGACGCCCAGCGCGAGGUGCAGCGGCUGCGGAGUGCCAACGAGCUCCUGAGCAGGGAGAAGAGCAACCUGGCCCACAGCCUGCAGGUGGCCCAGCAGCAGGCCGAGGAGCUGCGGCGGGAGAAGCUGCAGGCUGCCCAGGAGGAGCUGAGACGCCAGUGGGACCGGCUGGAGGAAGAGCAGGAGGACGGGUGCGCCGGGAGCUUGAGCGCAGGGGCUCCAGAGCAGCAGGCACACUGCUGGUGGGGGAGGCACGUCUGUGCAGAGGUCCACUGUGGUCUUCAGCCCAGAGCACGGACAUCCCAACCAGGGCUGCAAACUAGAGUUUGGGGCCCAGAUGGUGGGCUGGCCUGAUGGAACAGACAAGAACUGAGGAGACUCUCACCGCUACUGGAGGACCAGACUGAUGGGAGACAGAAGCUGUGCACGGACUGAUGGGAGACAGAAGCUGUGCAUGGACUGAUGGGAGACAGAAGCUGCGCAUGGACUGAUGGGAGACAGAAGC